RNAcentral lists this ribosomal RNA (2024 nucleotides) under metagenome. Its description in RNAcentral is "bacterial LSU rRNA". It matches the Rfam family "Archaeal large subunit ribosomal RNA", at positions 15 to 2130 of the family's 2987-position model. The record is from RNAcentral.
AACCCGACUGGGGGAUGGCUCGGCUCGAGAGCCGAAGAAGGUCGUGACAAGCUGCGAUAAGUUGCGGGGAGAGGCAAGAAUCUCUUGGAUCCGCAAAUUGCUGAAUUGGACCUCCUGGCACUCUGUGCCAUUCCUCAUUGAGGAAAGGGAACCUCCUGAACUGAAGCAUCUCAGUAGGGAGAGGAAAAGAAAUCAAACGAGAUUCCGUUAGUAGUGGCGAAUGAACACGGAAUAGGACAAACCGAAUCUCUAUGGGAAACCUUAGAGAAAUGUGGGGUAAGGAUCAUCUGUAGUCUAAGUGCAGGAAGUGGAAGUCGUCCUGGAACGGCGCACCACAGAGGGUGAAAGUCCCGUACACGUAUUGCAUAUGGCCAAGUGAUGAAUCCUGAGUAGCGUGCGUUGGAUAUCGCGCGUGAAUAUGGGAGGCAGAUACUUCCAAUCCUGAAUACUACUCGAGACCGAUAGUUGACAAGUAGCGUGAGCGAAAGCUGAAAAGUAUCCUUAGCGGGAUGUGAAAAGACCCUGAAACCAGUCGGGAACAAGCUGAAUAGGCGUGAAAGCGAAGAUAUGAGCAGCGUCUAUUCUUGCGUUUCGAAAAAUGCCCCUGGGAGUUCUGAUCAUUGGCGAGGUUAAGCAGUUGAACUGCGAAGCCGAAGGGAAACCGAAAGGUCCGCAGCCGCGUAAGCGGUCAGGGACUGGGUGAGCUCGCCCGGAGUCAAUGGUGGGAGACCUGAAGCCUAUCGAUCUAUGCCUGGCCAGUCUGAAGCCCGAUGAAAAUUGGGUGGAGGGACGAACCGUUGCUGAUGUGCAAAUCGCUCGGAAGAGUUGGGUAUAGGGGUGAAAGUCCAAUCGAGAUGGGCAAUAGCAGGUUCCGCGCGAGACUACUCGUAGGUAGACCUCCGUAGAGAUAGAAUGCGAGGUAGAGCACUGAUUGGGUGUUUAGGGGGAGCAAUCCCUCGGCACGCUGUCAAACUCCAAAGUUGCAUUCAUCGUAGAAGCGGGGAGUGAGCCACGGUGGGUAAGCUACCGUGACGAAAGGUGAAGAAACCAGCUCAGCGUUAAGGUCCCAAAAUUUCAGUUAAGUGUUAAUCACAAACGGCGUCCGUGGUCGAAGACAACCAGAAGGUGGGCUUAGAGGCAGCCAUCCUUGAAAGAGUUCGUAACAGAUCACUGGUCAAGCUUGCGGGCCCGAAAAAUGGACGGGACUCAAACUGAAUACCGAUACGCUGACCCUCCGAAAGGAGAUGGGGUAGCGCGGCGACAUGGUCGGGUAGAAGCUAGGUCGUGAGAUCUAGUGGACCGUCUAUGUAUGAGAAUCUAGGGAAGAGUAGCAGCAUAGUGCGGUGAGAAUCCGCACCACCGAAGGGGCCAGGAUUCCUCGGCAAUGUUUAUCAGCCGAGGGUUAGCCGGUCCUAAGGACAUCCUUAACCGAGAUGUUCGAAAGGGAAAUGCGUUAAUAUUCGUAUGCCCCUCUGCAAAUCUGGUAACGGCUCGGGCUAGUUCGUGCAUUCCUGUCAUGGGAUGUCGAAGCGUUCGAUAAUCGAUUGGAGAACCGUAAUGGUGAGAAGAUCGAGAAGGCGUGAGCAAAAGACGAAUGAGGCCAGGGUCCCGUGAAAAGCCGCAGAGGUGACCGUACCGAGAACUGACACAGGUGCCCCUGGGUGAGCAGCCUAAGGUGUGACGGGCAAAGUACCGCGAAGGAACUCGGCAAAAUAGCUCUGUAACUUCGGGAGAAGGAGUGCCAGCUUAGAGAUAAGCUGGUCGCAGUAACAAGGGGACUCCGACUGUUUAAUAAAAACAUAGCCGACUGCUAGAUCGAAAGGUUGUGUAUAGUCGGUGAAUCCUGCUCAGUGCCGGUAUCUGAAAUUGGGUUUCAACCUGACGAAGGACCGGUAAACAGCGGGGGUAACUAUGACCCUCUUAAGGUAGCGUAAUACCUUGUCGCUUAAUUGGCGACUUGCAUGAAUGGCACAACGAGAGUCCCACUGUCUCCGCGGUACGUCCGGCGAAAUUGACAUUACUGG